MicroRNA precursor from Medicago truncatula (barrel medic), 168 nucleotides. It matches the Rfam family "MIR2680 microRNA precursor family". NCBI's taxonomy places the organism in Eukaryota, Viridiplantae, Streptophyta, Magnoliopsida, Fabales, Fabaceae. The record is from Rfam.
AUAGGGUCUAGACCUGGCAUAUCUUCAUACGACCAUGCAAAAAUAUCCGGAUAUUCCCGUAGGAGCUGGAUGAUCUUACUUUUAACCUCUUCCCCUAGAGCAGCACCGAUCUUGAUUUCCCGCUUGUUCUCCUCGGUACCUAUGUUGAUAAGCUCAAUCUCUUCCUGA